Arabidopsis lyrata subsp. lyrata is the source of this 86-nucleotide small nucleolar RNA. It matches the Rfam family "Small nucleolar RNA Z122". Rfam says of the family: Z122 is a member of the C/D class of snoRNA which contain the C (UGAUGA) and D (CUGA) box motifs. Most of the members of the box C/D family function in directing site-specific 2'-O-methylation of substrate RNAs. The record is from Rfam. Lineage: Eukaryota; Viridiplantae; Streptophyta; Magnoliopsida; Brassicales; Brassicaceae.
UUUGGGAUAUGAUGACAAAAAUACGAAAUCUCUAAGGCUAAUUGCUAUGCAGAUGAAAUGUAUUUGCACGUCAGUCUGAUCCCAUU